RNAcentral lists this ribosomal RNA (463 nucleotides) under Vreelandella stevensii. RNAcentral's name for it is "partial 16S ribosomal RNA". It matches the Rfam family "Bacterial small subunit ribosomal RNA", at positions 338 to 795 of the family's 1533-position model. Lineage: Bacteria; Pseudomonadati; Pseudomonadota; Gammaproteobacteria; Oceanospirillales; Halomonadaceae. The record is from RNAcentral.
CCUCGGCGGCUGCAGUGGGGAAUAUUGGACAAUGGGCGAAAGCCUGAUCCAGCCAUGCCGCGUGUGUGAAGAAGGCCUUCGGGUUGUAAAGCACUUUCAGUGGGGAAGAAAGCCUUGGGGCUAAUACCCUCGAGGAAGGACAUCACCCACAGAAGAAGCACCGGCUAACUCCGUGCCAGCAGCCGCGGUAAUACGGAGGGUGCGAGCGUUAAUCGGAAUUACUGGGCGUAAAGCGCGCGUAGGCGGUCUGAUAAGCCGGUUGUGAAAGCCCCGGGCUCAACCUGGGAACGGCAUCCGGAACUGUCAGGCUAGAGUGCAGGAGAGGAAGGUAGAAUUCCCGGUGUAGCGGUGAAAUGCGUAGAGAUCGGGAGGAAUACCAGUGGCGAAGGCGGCCUUCUGGACUGAUACUGACGCUGAGGUGCGAAAGCGUGGGUAGCAAACAGGAUUAGAUACCCGAGUAGUC